AUUGAACGCUGGCGGCAUGCCUUACACAUGCAAGUCGAACGGCAGCACGGGAGCAAUCCUGGUGGCGAGUGGCGAACGGGUGAGUAAUACAUCGGAACGUGCCCAAUCGUGGGGGAUAACGCAGCGAAAGCUGUGCUAAUACCGCAUACGAUCUACGGAUGAAAGCAGGGGAUCGCAAGACCUUGCGCGAAUGGAGCGGCCGAUGGCAGAUUAGGUAGUUGGUGAGGUAAAGGCUCACCAAGCCGUCGAUCUGUAGCUGGUCUGAGAGGACGACCAGCCACACUGGGACUGAGACACGGCCCAGACUCCUACGGGAGGCAGCAGUGGGGAAUUUUGGACAAUGGGCGAAAGCCUGAUCCAGCCAUGCCGCGUGCAGGAUGAAGGCCUUCGGGUUGUAAACUGCUUUUGUACGGAACGAAACGGCCUUUUCUAAUAAAGAGGGCUAAUGACGGUACCGUAAGAAUAAGCACCGGCUAACUACGUGCCAGCAGCCGCGGUAAUACGUAGGGUGCAAGCGUUAAUCGGAAUUACUGGGCGUAAAGCGUGCGCAGGCGGUUAUGUAAGACAGUUGUGAAAUCCCCGGGCUCAACCUGGGAACUGCAUCUGUGACUGCAUAGCUAGAGUACGGUAGAGGGGGAUGGAAUUCCGCGUGUAGCAGUGAAAUGCGUAGAUAUGCGGGGGGACACCGAUGGGCGAAGGCAAUCCCCUGGACCUGUACUGACGCUCAUGCACGAAAGCGUGGGGAGCAAACAGG
RNAcentral lists this ribosomal RNA (754 nucleotides) under uncultured Comamonadaceae bacterium. RNAcentral's name for it is "bacterial SSU rRNA". It matches the Rfam family "Bacterial small subunit ribosomal RNA", at positions 28 to 776 of the family's 1533-position model. Lineage: Bacteria; Pseudomonadati; Pseudomonadota; Betaproteobacteria; Burkholderiales; Comamonadaceae. The record is from RNAcentral.